RNAcentral lists this long non-coding RNA (509 nucleotides) under Struthio camelus australis. Its description in RNAcentral is "lncRNA (ENSSCUG00000002097.1)". Lineage: Eukaryota; Metazoa; Chordata; Aves; Struthioniformes; Struthionidae. The record is from RNAcentral.
AGUGGGGUCAAAAGAAUGCAUUUUCUUUUUUUCCUUUUUCUUUUCUUUGCAUAGUUCCUCUGCUUGACAAAUUCCUGCAAAAUUCCAUCACACCUUUGCGUGGACCUAUUUGGGUCUCUAAGAGAGAAGGUUUCAGCCCCUCAGGAGCAAAGAUGUAUAUCCAAGGAGUUCUGUUGGCCUUGCAUCAGCGAUUAAAGCCUGCAAACUGUUGCAAACAGGCUCACCCUGAGUUUGUCGUGACCUACCUAGAGGAACUAUAUGGGAAAGAGGAGGUGACCCAGACAGAAAACUGCAUUCACCAUGGGGCCUGGUCUGCAGCUCAUCCUGAGAUAGACAGCAGCUCAGCAGACAAGGUCACAGUAUCAAGCCAGAGGCAGAUCCCCUAGGGGAGACUACACAGCUGACAGUGGCACUGGUGAGGAAACUAGAAGAGAAACAUCCUAAGGCCUCAGCUCAAAGGUAAGCCACUGACAGAACUGAUAUUUAUUGUUCAAUGACAUUAGAUGUUU